UACGUAGGGUGCGAGCGUAAAUCGGAAUUACUGGGCGUAAAGCGUGCGCAGGCGGCUUUGCAAGACAGAUGUGAAAUCCCCGGGCUCAACCUGGGAACUGCAUUUGUGACUGCAAGGCUAGAGUACGGCAGAGGGGGAUGGAAUUCCGCGUGUAGCAGUGAAAUGCGUAGAUAUGCGGAGGAACACCAAUGGCGAAGGCAAUCCCCUGGGCCUGUACUGACGCUCAUGCACGAAAGCGUGGGGAGCAAACAGG
RNAcentral lists this ribosomal RNA (253 nucleotides) under uncultured bacterium. RNAcentral describes it as "partial 16S ribosomal RNA". It matches the Rfam family "Bacterial small subunit ribosomal RNA", at positions 524 to 776 of the family's 1533-position model. The record is from RNAcentral.